UUGCUGCUGGUAGGGCUGGACCCGCUCUCGAGAGAUUGGGAGGAUUCAGUCAGAAGGGGCUGCUGACCUGCCCCGUUCACCAGGGCUGCCAUCCUGUGGCUUCAGCUUUUGUCACUGGGGUGACUUGGGGAAAGGUCUCAACCUCUCCCCAUCCCACUUCACUGCUGCCAGAAUCCCUCCUGCCCCCCGCCGCCCUGCUAGAACCCCUCCCUGCCCUACCUGGGAGGGGAUGGAGGUGGGGGUGGAGGAGAGGGUUCUACGAACUUGAGCGGUGUCUCCAGGUGGGUUGAAGGUGGAACAGCUGUCAGGGGCACGGAUGGGGAGGUGGCAGGAGCUCACCCAACAAGGAGGGGGGUUGGCACUGGAGGUCACUAGAGAGGAUAGCAAUCCUCCAUCCUGGGGAUCAGGAGGGUGAAUCUACCACUCAGACAUGAGCAGCUGCUGGGUGGAAAUGAUGGUGCUGGUUCCAGGUGCCCUUAAUCCUCCCUGAUUUCUGGGGAGUGUCUCAGUCUCUGACAUGUUCUCGUUCCCCUGCAGCACGAGGAUGUCACAGCCAAGGUCAUGUGCCAGCUCCACAUCAUCCGGCACUUGUGCCAGAUGCCCGAGGUGCUGCAAGGGCUGUGGCUCAUCUGAUGCUCUUAAAGGUUCCCCUCCCAUGUUCAGCAACUCCUGCUCCCUGCUGCAGCUCCACUUCCCGCAGCAGGAUAAAUGAACCUUCAGAUCCUAGAGAACGGACUCUGACCUCCUUCUGAUCAGCAAUGGGGUUUCACCAUCCCCUCAACAAACCUGUCAGCCGGGUUGGACCAGAUUUGAAGGAGGAGGGUAUCUAACAGGGUGGCUUGGCCUGUGGCUGCCAAGCCUGGAGCUAGGCCAAAUUGAUGACCAAGUGAGCUCCACCUGAGAGGAAACAAGGGAAAACAGCAGCAAAAGUGCAGAAGCAGAUCGAGCUGUUCAGUAGACGGCGUUGGGCCAAAACCUGGAGUCCAGGGUAGGACUAGGUUCUCUCACCGUCCCUAAGGAAGGGGACAUAGAAGACCACAGAAACCCAAGAAGGGGGGGCCGAGCCAAAAUCAGGCUGAGGAAGAGCUCCCCACGAGGGUGGAAGGCCUUUUUGCUGUUCAAGACAUUUUGGGACUUUGUUUGGAAGGAGCACGACCCAGGAAGGAGUGGACUAAAGGACAGUCACCUGGUUGGAGGGCUGAGUUCCCAGCCAACAAACUGCAAGAGUGAGUCUCAGCGGGGUUGCUAGCCCAGCUAGAAAGCUGUGACAUGAGGCCUGGCCAGGAUGUAGCGUCUCUGGCCCAGCCUCUUACACAGAUGUGUGCUGCAGCCAGCCCAGAGAAGGGAGCAGUGGGCACAGAUGAUCUCAUCCUGUCAAACCAAGCAACAGGGGUCCCAUUGAGGCUUACAUGGAAGAGCCGAGGCAUCUCCUGGAGAGGAUGAGUCCGGGAUCCUGGAGACGGUUUCCUGCAGAAGGUUUGAGUGGGGAGAGAUCACUCACUGUCAUGACCCAUGGGUCAUUAACCCGGGUCUGCAGGGUUCCUGGGAGCACCCACACUCCAGCACGCCACCUGGAAGCCUACGAAAAACUGUUUACCUAGGACUAAGGAAGUCCAGACCCAGUUUGAGGCUCCAUCCCUGAGGCCUAUUGGCAGAGUCCCAGAGCAUCUAAUCGGCCCCCAGGACCUCCUUAAACCAGCAGCAGGAACAAGAAGCUGUCUGAACACCCGAGCUCCCCCCUACCCCCUCUGGACUGUGUGUUAACUGUUCCUGCUCCCACUCCCCAUGCUUGAUUUUCUGGCGUCCUGACUCAGGGUGACUCAUCUGAUUUGAGGUUCUGAACACAAUUUGGUCUUUUGCUUCUGCUCUUUCAGUGUCCUGACCCAGCUGACUCUCGACUCCUGUCUUGUGAGUGUGGACUCUGCCUCUGACCACUAGGUCUGGCUGCCCAUGACCCAGCUGUCACAUUGACUUUUCUCCAAUUCCUCCAGUGCCCUUUUCUGCUCUCCAGCUCU
Molecule: long non-coding RNA, 2015 nt
Organism: Chelonia mydas (Green sea turtle)
Lineage: Eukaryota; Metazoa; Chordata; Testudines; Cheloniidae
Exons: 4
Source: RefSeq, a predicted model, not a curated record